RNAcentral lists this ribosomal RNA (557 nucleotides) under uncultured bacterium. Its description in RNAcentral is "bacterial SSU rRNA". It matches the Rfam family "Bacterial small subunit ribosomal RNA", at positions 102 to 694 of the family's 1533-position model. The record is from RNAcentral.
ACGGGUGAGUAACGCGUGGGAAUCUACCCAUCUCUACGGAAUAACGCAUGGAAACGUGUGCUAAUACCGUAUACGUCCUUCGGGAGAAAGAUUUAUCGGAGAUGGAUGAGCCCGCGUUGGAUUAGCUAGUUGGUGGGGUAAAGGCCUACCAAGGCGACGAUCCAUAGCUGGUCUGAGAGGAUGAUCAGCCACACUGGGACUGAGACACGGCCCAGACUCCUAUGGGAGGCAGCAGUGGGGAAUAUUGGACAAUGGGCGCAAGCCUGAUCCAGCCAUGCCGCGUGAGUGAUGAAGGCCCUAGGGUUGUAAAGCUCUUUCACCGGUGAAGAUAAUGACGGUAACCGGAGAAGAAGCCCCGGCUAACUUCGUGCCAGCAGCCGCGGUAAUACGAAGGGGGCUAGCGUUGUUCGGAUUUACUGGACGUAAAGCGCACGUAGGCGGACUAUUAAGUCAGGGGUGAAAUCCCGGGGCUCAACCCCGGAACUGCCUUUGAUACUGGUAGUCUUGAGUUCGAGAGAGGUGAGUGGAAUUCCGAGUGUAGAGGUGAAAUUCGUAGA